GGCUUGCACAUAUGUAUGACUGUAUGCCUCACCACGACCUGGAGGCACCGUGACGUCGUUAACCGGGCGAAAGGGCAGCCGUGCAGGAGGCCUCCCAAACGCUAGUCCUUCUGCGAGCAGCUGCCGCCAGGGACGUCGGGGCCCCCGCUUCCGUUUCAAAUACUGGCCAACCCGUUGAGCACGUGAACGAGAGCACAUAUAUACGCACAUACGAAGUGCACGCCCAAGCCUCUGCCAACGCCACUGUUGGGAGUAACCUGAGAGGACCUUCCAGCGUAACGUUGCUUCCAGCGCUCCCACUGAAC
Molecule: long non-coding RNA, 305 nt
Organism: Rhipicephalus microplus (southern cattle tick)
Lineage: Eukaryota; Metazoa; Arthropoda; Arachnida; Ixodida; Ixodidae
Source: RefSeq, a predicted model, not a curated record